UCGAACGAAGCGCUUAAAUGGAUUUCUUCGGAUUGAAGUUUUUGUGACUGAGUGGCGGACGGGUGAGUAACGCGUGGGUAACCUGCCUCAUACAGGGGGAUAACAGUUAGAAAUGACUGCUAAUACCGCAUAAGCGCACAGUGCUGCAUGGCACAGUGUGAAAAACUCCGGUGGUAUGAGAUGGACCCGCGUCUGAUUAGCUAGUUGGUGGGGUAACGGCCUACCAAGGCGACGAUCAGUAGCCAGCCUGAGAGGGUGAACGGCCACAUUGGGACUGAGACACGGACCAAACUCCUACGGGAGGCAGCAGUGGGGAAUAUUGCACAAUGGGGGAAACCCUGAUGCAGCGACGCCGCGUGAGCGAAGAAGUAUUUCGGUAUGUAAAGCUCUAUCAGCAGGGAAGAAAAUGACGGUACCUGACUAAGAAGCACCGGCUAAAUACGUGCCAGCAGCCGCGGUAAUACGUAUGGUGCAAGCGUUAUCCGGAUUUAUUGGGUGUAAGGGAGCGUAGACGGUUGUGUAAGUCUGAUGUGAAAGCCCGGGGCUCAAUCCCCGGGACUGCAUUGGAAACUAUGUGACUAGAGUGUCGGAGAGGUAAGCGGAAUUCCUAGUGUAGCGGUGAAAUGCGUAGAUAUUAGGAGGAACACCAGUGGCGAAGGCGG
Molecule: ribosomal RNA, 662 nt
Filed under: uncultured Lachnospiraceae bacterium
Lineage: Bacteria; Bacillati; Bacillota; Clostridia; Lachnospirales; Lachnospiraceae
Description: bacterial SSU rRNA
Rfam family: Bacterial small subunit ribosomal RNA
Source: RNAcentral